This 10283-nucleotide long non-coding RNA is filed under the name Ananas comosus (pineapple). Its description in RNAcentral is "long non-coding RNA (ACOM_LNC012737)". The record is from RNAcentral. Lineage: Eukaryota; Viridiplantae; Streptophyta; Magnoliopsida; Poales; Bromeliaceae.
GAUUUCACCACUUUCAAUAUUGUUUUAUAUCCAUCUAGUGAACAGAAAAAUGAAUGGCUGAAAAUGAAUAUUAUUUAAAAAUAUGAUAGGAGUCUUGUAAUCAAGAUCAAGAGUAUAGAUCUUGUUUUAAAUAGUUUAAAGAAUUUUCUAACAAAAAUUCAAUUGAUUUGAAUAUCUUUACACCGUUAAACGAGAAAACGUCUCUUAUCCCCAUUAAAAUUACAAAUUUUGAAACCCUUUGAUCAUUAGGCAAAUGAUGUCGAAAAGAUUUGAAAUUUGAUUUCUAACACUUCAAGUGGUAUAAAUCAUGUUCAACGGAGCCGAUCGUCAAUUUGGAAGCUCUAUCAUCGAAAACAACUCGAGAGUAAACGGGCUCGUUUACUCUCGAGAGUAUUCUAGCUCAACUCUAUAUAUAAUAUAUAUAUAGGAAGAGAGAGUACAAGAGGGAUUUGGGGGGACACGUGUCACCCCAAGGUUCCCCAAACCCUCCUUUAAUGUAGAGAAAAAUAGAUAAAGAAUAGAUUUAUUUAAAUUUUAUCUAUAGACUAGGGAUGAUCAAACUUAGCGGAAUUACAAUUAGAUGGGAUAUUUUACCACAGUAGAUCAAUGACAAUUAACUAUUAAAUUUGUACGUCUAAACAAAUUCCAUUAUCUAAAUUUCGAAACCACAACGCCCGCAUAUUAAAAUGUCAUUUAUUUAGUUAAAAGUUCAUGUUCUUCGCCUACGGCAAGUCUCGAUUUAUUACGUAAUUAACUUACAAAUAGCUUACGCGUAAAAACGCAAGUUCUUAUAAACGAAAAGUACAACUUCACGUGCAUGCCAACUUCACAUAUGUUUAAAAUAUUGAAUUUAGAAAAAAAAAAAAAAAAAAAAGAGACUAGCUCACUUUCCAAGGCUCGUAUUUAAAUAUUCCUCCUCGAUUCCAUGACAUCUGAACUGCCCAAAACAAAAUCGACAUAUGGGUGCGUCAUGCAUGGCGAGGUCAAACAAUACAAUUAGGUGCAACAUGCAUGGCGAGGUAGAAUGGUAGAUCAUACACUUCCCAUCAUAGGAUUAACAAAAGUUCAAUAAUUUUUCAGUAAAAAUCAAAAAAUAUCGAUAUAACAAGUAAAAAAUAUAUGGUCAUUGGAGAGAAUAGGGUAAGAUAUACACCAUACUUUGGGCUAUAAUUAACUAUAUAUUCUUUAUCCACACUCCUAAUUAUAUUAAUAUAGAAAUUCCUCUAAAACGAUCAAUAUAAAAAUAUCUUUCUAAUUUAAUAUAUAUAUUAUAUAAAAUAUUCAUAUUUAUAAUAAUCAAUCUAAAAAUUGAAACGAAAUUUUUAUUUUGGUCAUUAUUCAUCACCAAUGCAGUUUUAAUCACUUAAAGAUUUUUGGUGAAAAUAUUAUAAGAAUGCAGUCGAAUGUACACCAUAUUAAAACUUACUGGUUAUGAAUUAAUGGUGAUAUAUAAAUACAAAGCUGGUUAUGAAUAGCAAAUUAAAGGAACUUUUACGAAAGUGACAUCAUCAUCAUAAUCAUCAUCAUCAUCAUCAUUAUGUUUUAAUAUUAAGGUUUGCGCGCAGGUAAGUUGUGCGGCGGUGAGUUCGAGUACCAUACAUUGUCUAUAAAUAGAGGCAGCCUGGAAGCAGCUCUCCACCCAAUCCGUCUACCGCCCAUUGAGAGGACAAACAUAUAGGCACAUACAGGCACAUAUAGCUAGCUAGCUAGAAGAGCCAUGGCUUCGAGCUGGUGAGCUACGAGAUUACCCACGACAACAUCGCCUUGCUGCGCCUGUUGGGACGGGAAACACCUCCUCAGCCUGGCCCUCCAUCAACGAUUUCAAUAAAGCAGUCAGGAGGGCCGUCGAUGACAAUGUGGUCGGCUCAUAACCGUACAGCGCAACUGCGUUCUCGGCGGCCUCGACUACAAUUCGGCCCCGAGGCGGUGUUGGUGGGGGCGUUUGCGAGCCUGAUCGCAAGCCUCAUCAGCUGCCAUUCCGACGGUGGCAGGUGUGACGGGCCAAGCGUACGGGCAGGAUUCACGCUGGCGCUCGCACAUGACUACUUGGUGCUAUCGACUGACUCCACUGUUAGUUUGUGCGCCAAAACGAGCUGACAGAGGCCACGAGGUGCCAUCGUUUGCUGUGGCGCUGCUGUCUGACAGUUCCCGCCGUCGGCUGCUUGGAGCUGGCAGUGUCGACAGUGCCAGUUGCCCCCCCCAAAUUACUCGCCCAUAUCUGACUACGUGGGGAAGUACGUAGGGUGGAGCAUAGAUGAUGUUGCGACAAAACUGCUGGAGCCAGCUGCUGGCCGCGUCGGCACAGCUUACAGUGCCGUGAGGAAGAGUCUGUCUGCCGAGGUGUGGCGCUGGUGAAGCCACAGUAACUCAGCCUAGUUAAUUUGGGCCUGCAUGCAUGCAUGGUCGCCCCCUCGUAUGGCGUAGUAUGUAUCACCGUUAGUAGGUGCGUGUCUGUUGGCUUCGAGUCCGAUUCUGAAACAGUUUGUUGUGCUCGUAUUUCCCUUUGAAUAAAAUAGGGGUGAUGUCCGUCGAUUCGGUCUCUGUCCUCGGCCUUGUAUGGUAAUAAAUUAUGCUUUGUGUGUGUCUUUAUUUAUUAUUUCGAGUGUUUGCUCUUCCAUCUCUGCUUAAGGCUAUGUUAUUUGAACUAGACCUAAUUGAUCUAUCUGCUCAGAAAACACCAGCCCGAUACGAUCUGGAUUGGGCCUGGUCCAUCGAACCAUUUGGAAUUGCGCACGGCUUGGCCUGGUCCGAUGAUCACGACUCGUUCCUUCCCGCCCAGGGCCGAAAGACCUAAAGUUAAGCGCUCGGCGCCAUAGAUCUGUGCAGCAUUGGGACUCGAAGGACAAUCAUCAAAUUAAAAUACACAGACAAUGGCGCGCAUGCUUUGUUCUUCUAACCACCAAACUUUUUACUACUUGCACUAGAAACGAUUAGUUACAAAGAAAAUAUUAUAAAGAGAAUAUGAGAAAUUUGAGGGACUAACUAGUUUUAACAGGUCCAAACACUAAAUUUUCAAUAUGACAAAAAUAACUGCAUGUGAACGUGUGUGUGUAUAUAAUUAAUAUCCACGCACGCUCGACCCGGUUUGUCUAUAUACGAGAGCACAGGAGGCGCGAUCUAAAAUUUGAUCACAUGAUGAGCAAUCCCAGCUAGCAAGAUCUGUUAGCAACUAAUACAUUUAACAUAGUUAUAUAUCCGUAAUAUCGCGGCUUUAAGUAGUAAAUAUUAUAUGUACCCAUCCUGGACUGAAGGUUGAGAUUUAGUUAAAUUUAUAAUUAUAUUCUAACUAGAUUAGGAUGAAUUUUUAAAAUUUGUAAUAAAUAAAUCAAGUAGAAUUUAUAUCUAGACUAGCUAGGUGCGUAAAAUUUAUAUAUAUAGAGAGAGAGAGAGCUAGGCUUUUAUAAUAUUUAUAUUGUUGAUACGGCGUUCAAUUCAACACAAAUUUUUUUUUUUAGAUUCAUUCAUUCCAUCAUAAUUAUUAAAAAUAUUUUUAUAUAUAUUUUUCAAAUAAAAUAAUUUAGUUAACUGGUUAUGAUAAUAUAAUAUAAAUGUUACAUGGUAAAUUUUCCAAUAAUGAGGAAUUUCUAUCACUUCCAUCUUAUUAUAAAAAACCAACAAUUAUCUCCUUCAUUUAAAAAAAGUAUAAAGAAAUAUUUUUAUUUAUACACGAUGGAUUAGAUGAACACAGAGGAACAAUAUAAUUUACUGGGGAGUACGUUUGGAAUGAUAUAUAUAUCUCCUCCGAGAAAAUUUCAGAUAAUAAUUAAUGGGUUAAUUACACCGGUAGUUCCGCAACCUUUUCACCAAUUUUUACUUGAGUUCCUAACUCUUUUUUUUUGCAAUUGAGUUUCUAAUCUCUUGAUUUAAUUUCAAUUAGGUCCCAACCGUUAAAAAACUGUUAAAAUAACAGAAUCGCCACAUCAGCGCUUAUGUAACAACCUUGUGCAUGUCAAUUAGGUCCCUAACUUGCACAUUUUUCAUUUAGUCCCUAAAAUAAAUUCAAAAUUUUAAAUUUAAAUUAAAAAUAAUAUUAAAAAAAAUUUUAACUAACAGAAAAUUAGAAUUUUGAAUUUGAAUUUAAAACUGAAUUAAAUUUUGAAUUGAAAUUCAAAUUUUAAAUUUAAAUUUUUAAUUGAAUCUAAAUUUUGAAUUCAAACUUAAAAUUUUGAUUUUGAUUUUGUAUUUCAAUUUACAUUUAAAAUAAAAGUUUCGAAGCCGAAAAUUUAAAUUUAAAAUAUGAAUUUAAAUUUAAAAAUAUAUUCAAUUUUGAUUUUAAAAUUUUAAUUUGAAUUUAAAUUUAAUUUGAAUUUAAGAUUUGAUUUCAAUUCUAAAUUUGAAUUUAAACUCGAAGUUCAAAAUUCACAUUUUGAAUUUGAAAUUUCAAAUCGAAGUUUGAAAUUAAAUUAGAAUUAGAAUUCCAAAUGUGAAUUUGAAUUUAAAAUUUAAAAUUAAAAAUUAAAUACAAAUCGGAUUUUGAAUUCCAAUUUAAAUUUGAAUUCAAAAUCACAAAUUUAAAUCUAUAAAUUAAAUUUUUUUUUUAAUUUAUAAAUUUAAUGGUUAAAUUACACUAUUGGUCCUCAACCUUGCACCAUUUUUUAAUUUGGUCCCUAACUUUUUUUUUUUGCAAUCCCGCUGACACAGCGGCCACCGUGGUGCUGACAUGGCGCCUCCCGUGGCGCUGACGUCGGGCUGACGUGGCAUUUCCCGACAAUUUUAACAGUUAUCUAACGGUUGAGACUUAAUUGAAAUGAAAUCAAAAAUUAGAGACUUGAUUGCAAAAAAAAAAUUAGGGACUAAAUUGGAAAAUAGUGUAAAGUUAGGACAUUGGAAUUAGCAAUAAUUAAUGGAUAGAAAUGGAUACAGCGGGAGCUAAAAAUCUUGUCUACGUUGUUUGUUUCAAUUUCUUUUCUAAUAAUGGUGGCUUAAAUGUCACGCUACAUUGACCUGAGGAUUCAACUUUAAUAUUAAAAAUAAAAAAAAAAUCAAAUGAAAAUCCGGUUCGUCCAAAUUACAAUGAUGUCCCUUUCAAUCACACCCGAUCCGCCAACCGAACAAUCCAACAGUCACGGCGCAAGAUCAAGCAUGCUGGACCCACACGUAACCAUGAAGUCUCAGCAACCUAGAUUUGGAAUCACCAAUGUACAAAAGAAACAACACUGCCUAAAUUAUAUGAAGAAUAUUACUAACCGUACUUAUUAGCGCAUGAUAAAAAAUUUAAUAUAUUAUAUUUAAUAUGUUAAAAACUUAAUUAUUUUAUAUUUCGGUUAAAUUUAUUAAAAAAUAGGGCAAUUGCCUAAUAUACCCUGAAAAGUUUCCCGUUUUCUUAUUUACCCUCUUAGAAGGCUAAUAUUGAAAAUACCCUUCUUAUGUUCAAGUUUUUUCUAAAAUAUCCCUAGAGUUAAGUUCCGUUAGUGAGCUGGCCGUUACUCUGAAAUUUAAUUACAUUUGCCCAUUCCAAUAUACCCUUGUACCGUAACAAACUUUUUAUAUACCCUUCAUAUAGCAAAUACUUUUCUAUUUUACCCUUCAGCCGGAUCCGGAGCCAGAAGCGUCAGGGUCCGAUGGAGCUGCGGCCCUCUGUGCUCCUGCGCGGGCCAAGGCAGGCGCGAUGAGGAGAAGGACGACGAGAGCGGCGAGAGAUGGGAUCGUCGGCACGGCCCUCUUGCUCCCGGCGCCGGCCAGGGGCGGGAGGAAGAGGACGACGCGACGACGAAGCGCGCGGCGAGGAGGACAACGAGAGCGACGAGAUGGUGGAUUGGAGGUGAGGUGUGGGAGUGGUGGUGGUCUGAGAGGAGAUGAGGCGAGGAGGUGAGUAGAGCGAGGAGCCGCCGGUGGUGGCGACAAAAUUGAGGAAGAAAGAGAGGAUAAUCUUAGGGAUUACUAUAAUAAAGUAGGGGCAAAAUAGGAUUUUUGUUCAGGUUUUAACUCUAGUAUAGAUUUAACGCCAUGUUUAACCGAGUUAAGCUAACGAGGGAUAACUGCGAGGGUAUUUGGAAUAACGGUGGAACGUAUGAGGGUCAUUUUAGAAAAGAAAAAAAAAGUAGGGUAGAUCGGAUAUUUUCGACGCAUCGAAGUAUAUAUAUAUAUAUAUAUAUAUAUAAUGAUUUUUUAAAAAAGUAUCAAGUAUUUGACGCGUGUAAAUUUUUUACCAUUAAAUCUAUUUUUUGCUAAAUUCCAUUCUUUAAAUUAUGAUACUUCACCAACCAUCAACUCAAUUCUAGAAGUCUCUUAUUAUCCUAACAGUACAUAUAUGAACGUCAUUCCAUGUCGUAGUAUAGGUUGUAUGUAAAUGGAUUAAAUAUUUUAUUAUGUAGUGGACAAUAAUUUUUUCGUGCCCAAGUUCUUUUCCAUUCCGAGUACUGGUAGGAUUAUAAAGUUCUCUCUCUCAUUAAGAUAAUCACAAUUCAAUUAAACUCUACAAAUUAAGUCCACUUAAACAAACUUGCGCCAGUUGAGCAGUCCAAUUAACUAACUAAUUAAAUAUAAAUUAUUUCAGAUAAAAAUAAGCUAAUAAAUUGCAAAUUUAAAUUUCUCCUCAUUCAUAAUUUACUCACAUGGGUUAUUCCAUCUAAAACCAUAUGCAUUAUUGUGAGGUUUGGUUUAGGGGAGGAGAAAUGUAAUUAAUAACUCUUCAGCACCUCCGGCGCGAUUGGGGGUCGAGAGGAGCGAGAAGAACAUGUGAGUCACUUAUGAAUGAGGACAAAUUUUAAUUUGCAAUUUUUUACCUUAUUUUUAUCUCGAAUAGUUUAUAUUUAAUUAGUUAGUUAAUUGGAUUGUUUGACCGGCUCAAGUUUGUUUAAGUAGACUUUGUAGAGUUUAAUUGACUUGUGAUUAUCUCAAAGAGAGAGACUAUACAACUCUCGAUGUACGAAGAAAGGAAAAGCACUUCCCCAACAGAUAAAUAAUUGUUCAGUACAUAAUAAAAUAUUUUUUGUCCAAUAAUACACGACCUAUACCACGUGCCUACGUACGAGCGAAAAUUUCUACUUAAUUAAUUGACCUUUAUUUUUUAUUUCUCUAUUACUCCUCUACUUUUAUCUUGAUCCCCAUUUGAGAAAGGACCUUUAGUUUAGUGAGUCUUAAAUUUCAGAGAAUAGUUUUCAGAGAUUGAAAGUAAAGAUGAAUAACAGCAUCGACAGCUGGAAUUUAAGUGAAAUGUUGUUUAGUUCGGCAGACUUAAUUUGCUAAAAUUAUUCACCAAACAUUAAUUUCCAUCUCAAUCUGAUUACCUCAUCAAACUUUGCAUAAUUUUUAAACAAAACAAAAAAACGAUAGCUAAUUUAGUUACCACAUAAUUAAGUAUAACUAGUGAAAUAUCCGCGCGAUGCUGCGGAUCUAAAAUAUUUUUACUAUAGUUUUAAAUUUUAAUAUUUUUAUAUAGUGUUAUAAGUCUAAUUAUUAAUUAUAUAAAAAUAAUUUAAUAGUUAAAUCUAUUUAAAUAAAAGUCAUUAAAAUUGUAUAUGCGCAAAUAAAUUUAUACAUCACUUUAUUUAUAAAGAUUUCUGUGAGAAGGAUUUGAGAUAAAUUUAUCAAAUAAUUUUUAAAAAAUCAAUUGAUAGAAGGGAGAAUAAAUUUGUAGAAAAUUGCUUAAUAAAAUUAAUUAUAUAUAUAUACACAUAUACACUAAUAUUUUUAAAAUUUUCACUUGAAAUUUAAAUUAUGUUUUUUUUAUACAACGAUAUAUUUACGUAAUUUAAAUUAAAUCUAUCAUGUUAAAUUUAUUAUGCGAUUUAUUACGCAUAUUAUUAAUAAAUUAAUUAAUAAUUUCAUGAAAUUUAAAUUAUGUAUUUUUUAUACAACGAUAUUUUACGUGAUUUAAAUUAAAUCUAUCAUGUUAAAUUUUAUUAUGCGAUUUAUUACGCGUAUUAUUAGUAAAUUAAUUAAUUAAUUUCACAGAGUUAGAGAUUUAAAUUUUAAAUUUUGAAGAAAUUAAUUAUGUAUUUUUUUUACAACGAUAUUUUACGUGAUUCAAAUUAAAUCUAUCAUGUUAAAUUUUAUUAUGCGAUUUAUUACGUGUAUUAUUUAUAAAUUAAUAAUUAAUUUCAUAGAGUUUAGAGAUUUAAAAUUUAAAUUUUAAAGUUACAAAAUUGCAAAUAAAUAUUAAAGUUAAAAUGAAAUUUAGAAUUUAAAAUAUAAAAUUUAAAUUAAAAUUUAAAAUUUGAAAGCAUCAAAAUUUUAAAUUUGAUAUCAAAAUUUAAAAUAUUAUAUAUAUAUAUAGGAGAGAGAGAGAGAAGAGGAGAGAGAGAGUAAAGUAGGGUUUGGGGGGAAGGGGUGAUACGUGUUCACUCUAUGCGCCCCCAAACCAUCCUCUAAUGUAAAAAAUAGAUUUAAAUUAAAUUUAUCAUUGUAAAUUUUAUUAUGCGAUUUAUUAUGCGUAUUAUUAAUAAAUUAAUUAAUUAAUUUCAUGAAAUUUAAAUUAUGUAUUUAUUUAUACAAACGAUAUUUUACGUGAUUUAAAUUAAAUCUAUCAUGUUAAAUUUUAUUAUGUGAUUUAUUACGCGUAUUAUUAAUAAAAUUAAUUAAUUAAUUUCAUAGAGUUUAGAGAUUUAAAUUUUAAAUUUUGAAGAAAUUUAAAUUAUGUAUAUUUUUUAUACAGCGAUAUUUUACGUGAUUUAAAUUAAAUCUAUCAUGUUAAAUUUUAUUAUGCGAUUUAUUACGUGUAUUAUUAUAUAAAAUUAAUUAAUUAAUUUAUAGAGUUUAGAGAUUUAAAAUUUUAAAUUUUAAAUUACAAAAUUGGAAAUAAUAUUAUAAGUUAAAAUUGAAAUUUAGAAUUUAAAAUAUAAAAUUUAAAAAUUUGAAGUAUCAAAAUUUUAAUUUUGAUAUCAAAAUUUAAAAUUAUAUAAAUAUUAUAUAUAUAAGAGAGAGAGAGAGAGAGAGUAAAGGGGUUUGGAGGGAGGGGGUGACACGUGUCACCCUAUGGGCCCCCAACCCUCCUUUAAUAUAAAACUAGUGAAAUCCCUGCGCGAUACUGCGGAUAUAAAAUUUUUUUAAUAAAUUUUAAUUUUUUAUAAUUUAAAAUAAUUUUAUAAGUCUAACUAUUAAUUAAAUAAAAGUUAUAUAAAAAUAAUUAAUAAUUAAUUUUAUUAAAUAAAAUUUAUUGAAACGACAACUUAUUUAUUAAAGAUUUAUGUAAAAAAGUUUGAGAUAAAUAUAUAAAACAAUUUUAAAAUUAAUAAAUAGAAGGGAAAUAAAUAAAUAGAGAAUUUGUUUAAUAAAAUUAAUUUUAUAUAUAUACACACGCGCCCAUAUAUUUUAUAAAUCUUACUCCUCAAUUUAAAUUGUAUUUUUUAUACAUCGAUCAAAUUAGAUUUAUUAUACGAUUUAUUACUUGUGUUAUUAAUAAUAUUAAUUAAUUAUAUUAUAUACAAUGAAUUAUUAAUAAAAUUAAUUAAUUAAAUUCAUAGAGUUUAGAGAUUUAAAUUUUAAAUUUUGAAGUUUAAAAUUUGAAAUAAAUAUUAGAAAUUAAAUGAAAUUUAAAAUUUUAAAAUUUGAAAGUAUCAAAAUUUAAAUUUUGAUAUCAUAUAUAUAUAUAUAUAUAUAUAUUAUAUAUAUAUAUAUAUAUAUAUAUAUAAAAUUUUGAAGUUUAAAAUUUAGAAAUAAAUAUUAUAAAUUAAAUUUAAAUUAAAUAAAAUUUAAAAUUUUGAAAGUAUCAAAAUUUUAAUUUUGAUUUCAAUAUAUAUAUAUAUAUAUAUAUAUAUAUAUAUAUAUAUAUAUAUAUAUAUAGAGUUGAGCUAGAAUACUCUCGAUUAGUAACGAGCCCGUUUACUCUCGAGUUGUUUCGAUGAUAGAGCUUCCAAAUUGACGAUCGGCUCCGUUAAAUAUGAUCUAAACCAUUUAAACUACUAGAAAUCAGAUUUCACGCACUUUCAGAUAUUGUUUAUAUCCAUCUAGUGAACAGAAAAAUGAAUGGCUGAAAAUGAAUAUUACUUUUUAAAAAAUGAUGAUAGGAGUCUUGUAAUCAAGAUCAAGAGUAUAGAUCUUGUUUUAAAUAGUUUAAAGAAUUUUCUAACAAAAAUUCAAUUGAUUUGAAUAUCUUUACACCGUUAAACGAGAAAACGUCUCUUAUCCACCAUUAAAAUUACAAAUUUUGAAACCCUUUGAUCAUUAGGCAAAUGAUGUCGAAAAGAUUUGAAAUUUGAUUUCUAAACACUUCAAGUGGUAUAAAUCAUGUUCAACGGAGCCGAUCGUCAAUUUGGAAGCUCUAUCAUCGAAAACAACUCGAGAGUAAACGGGCUCGUUUACUCUCGAGAGUAUUCUAGCUCAACUCUAUAUAUAUAUAUAUA